Molecule: long non-coding RNA, 758 nt
Filed under: Manihot esculenta (cassava)
Lineage: Eukaryota; Viridiplantae; Streptophyta; Magnoliopsida; Malpighiales; Euphorbiaceae
Description: long non-coding RNA (MESC_LNC004003)
Source: RNAcentral
ACCUCUCCACCCUCCCUAAAGUUAUUCAUCACAUAGUCACUUAUGAGAUUCUCCCUAGAGCGGGUCAUAGGACUGCUCUCUCCUACUCUGACAUGUUUGUAGUGUCCUGUCUGCUAGAGGGUCGAGCCCUUAACCUGCCACAUAUUAUGAUUCACUCUAUAGCAGACUCCCUUAGGCUGAGUCGAGGCUGUCUCCCCUUUGGUCGUCAUCUUACUCUUCUUCUCCGAGCUCUAGGGGUUGACCCAGGUACCGAGUCUACCUUACCCUUGUCUAGUGAGUAUACCCCUUACACUAAGGCUACCCUCCUCCACAUGGGUCUGACUAGGAGAGGCAAUGAAUUUUAUAAUUCUAGGAGAGAUUUUGCAGCCCACAGAGCAGCACAAGCAGCAGCAUAGGCACAUGAUGUUUCUGAUGAGGAGUCAGAUGAUGUUUCUCCUGCUGAUCUUGAGACAGAGCGAGCUCCCAGAGGCGAUGCUAGUACCGGGCGGUCCACCGAGCAGGGUACAUCUUCUCGGACUGCAUCUGAUCUGUAUGAUGCCAUGGGUCGUCUGGAGCUGCAGGUUGCUCAGAUGUCUGAUCGCCAGACUCAGAUAUCUGAUCGUCAGACUCAGAUGGAGCAGCAGUUAGCACGACUUACAGACAAGCAGCAGACCCUGAUCGAGCAGCAGAGACAGAUUUUGCACUUCCUUCAGCAGUCAUCUGGAGUGCCACCUCCUCAGUGAUUUUUCUUUGUUUAUAUAGUUGCUCUUAUUUUUUUU